GGUUACUGCUAUCGGUGUUUGCCUAAGCCAUGCGAGUCAAAUGUUCUUUGUGAACAUGGCAUACUGCUCAGUAACACGUGGAUAACCUGCCCUCAGGUCUGGCAUAACCCCGGGAAACUGGGGAUAAUUCCGGAUAACGCAUAUAUGCUGGAAUGCUUUAUGCGUCAAAGGUCCUCCGCCUGAGGAUGGGUCUGCGGCCUAUCAGGUAGUAGCGGGUGUAAUGUACCUGCUAGCCGACGACGGGUACGGGUUGUGAGAGCAAGAGCCCGGAGAUGGAUUCUGAGACAUGAAUCCAGGCCCUACGGGGCGCAGCAGGCGCGAAAACUUUACAAUGCGGGAAACCGUGAUAAGGGGACACCGAGUGCCAGCAACAUUUGCUGGCUGUCCAGGUGUGUAAACUACACCUGUUAGCAAGGGCCGGGCAAGACCGGUGCCAGCCGCCGCGGUAACACCGGCGGCCCGAGUGGUGAUCGUUAUUAUUGGGUCUAAAGGGUCCGUAGCCGGUUUAGUCAGUCCUCCGGGAAAUCUGUCAGCUCAACUGAUAGGCUAUCGGGGGAUACUGCUAGACUUGGAACCGGGAGAGGUAAGAGGUACUACAGGGGUAGGAGUGAAAUCUUGUAAUCCCUGUGGGACCACCUGUGGCGAAGGCGUCUUACCAGAACAGGUUCGACGGUGAGGGACGAAAGCUGGGGGCACGAACCGGAUUAGAUACCCGGGUAGUCCCAGCCGUAAACGAUGCUCGCUAGGUGUCAUGCAUGGUGCGACCGUGUAUGGUGCCGUAGGGAAGCCGUGAAGCGAGCCACCUGGGAAGUACGGCCGCAAGGCUGAAACUUAAAGGAAUUGGCGGGGGAGCACAACAACGGGUGGAGCCUGCGGUUU
This 879-nucleotide ribosomal RNA is filed under the name uncultured archaeon. RNAcentral's name for it is "bacterial SSU rRNA". It matches the Rfam family "Archaeal small subunit ribosomal RNA", at positions 21 to 903 of the family's 1478-position model. The record is from RNAcentral.